AAAUACGCUUCUGGCAGUAUUCCAGUCGUUGAAGGCGUAACUGAUUUGAGCGAUGCGCCUGCUGUAUAUCCAAUGCUAGCGGUCUGUUCACCGAGUGAACCCCUUGGGAAUGGUAUAGGGAGGAAGGAGAAUAUGCAGGAGACCAAGAAAGAGGAGAAAUACUAUGUCGAGUGGAGGGAAGACUUGCAGCAUUUGCUGCAACCGCGGGUCAAAGGCUACAUGUCCAACAGAAGGACCAUGCUGAGCCAUCGGACGGAGUGAUGCUUGUCGCCCUCUUGGACGCACAGAAGACGCGUGCUCAUCUGCUAAAAGUGAAUUUCAGAAUGUCAGCAGGCGUUGCUGAGGCAACGACGGGGGAACGGGGGGGGGGGGUGUCUAUCCACUGGGGCAUGGAAAGAAUGCUCUGCUGAUGUUCUGCUCAUUAAAUACUGAGCAUUUCCAACCCAGUCCAAAUAUAAACAUUUAACAGCCAGAGACCCAGGUGAAGCAUGUAGACAUAUUCCACAUCAUCUGACAUGAUAUCCUCUUUCAGCCUAAAAGGAAUAUGACUCUGGACAUAUUUAGCAAUUUCACCUCUGUUUCCAUUCCAGUCUUUUCUGUGCAUUGCUGUAAUGUAUAGCUACCACCGCAUUCUCGAAGGACUUGCCUAAAUGUUUUUCUGAGAUAUGAAUGGUUUCUCAUGUUUGUACAUUCUUAGUUUCAUGAAACUUGUAUCUCAGUCUGAAAUAAAAUAAUUUUUGGUCCCGU
Molecule: long non-coding RNA, 747 nt
Organism: Esox lucius (northern pike)
Lineage: Eukaryota; Metazoa; Chordata; Actinopteri; Esociformes; Esocidae
Source: Ensembl